CCUACGGGAGGCAGCAGUGGGGAAUAUUGGGCAAUGGGCGCAAGCCUGACCCAGCAACGCCGCGUGAAGGAAGAAGGCUUUAGGGUUGUAAACUUCUUUUCUGAGGGACGAAGAAAGUGACGGUACCUCAGGAAUAAGCCUCGGCUAACUACGUGCCAGCAGCCGCGGUAAUACGUCGGGGGCAAGCGUUAUCCGGAUUUAUUGGGUGUAAAGGGCGUGUAGGCGGGAAAGAAAGUCAGAUGUGAAAACUCGGGGCUCAACCCUGAGCCUGCCUUUGAAACUGGUUUUCUUGAGUGCUGGAGAGGCAAGCGGAAUUCGGGGUGUAGCGGUGAAAUGCGUAGAUAUACGGAGGAACUCCAGUGGCGAAGGCGGAUUGCUGGACAGUAACUGACGCUGAGGCGCGAAAGCGUGGGGAGCAAACAGGAUUAGAUACCCUUGUAGUC
RNAcentral lists this ribosomal RNA (443 nucleotides) under uncultured bacterium. RNAcentral describes it as "partial 16S ribosomal RNA". It matches the Rfam family "Bacterial small subunit ribosomal RNA", at positions 338 to 795 of the family's 1533-position model. The record is from RNAcentral.